CCCCCCCAAAAAUGGAGGAUUGAAGGAUUGAUAUGAGACUUAUCCAUUACUGGAGGUUCCAAUGAAGGUAGAGGGUCCUAGACACACUGUAGACAAGCCAAAGCAUCCAUGCCUGCACAAACCAGUCCGUGUCCCUGGGAAACUCGCUCAGCCAAGGCAACAGGGGACCCUCUGCCUGAGAGCCUCCCUGCCAGAAAAACUAAUCAGCCUCAGGAUCCAGGCUUCUUUCAGGGCCAGUUUCACUACAAGAAUAAUCUGCCUCACACAAACGCCAGUUGGGUCUGCAGACCUCGAGUACUCCAGCAGACUUGUUUCUGCCCACCAACUGUCUGCUGUUACCAAGACGGAGACAUGGGGCCAAAAUGAGUGGACCCAGCAGAAGCCUGCCAGCUGGAGGAAGAAGACAUGGAUGUGGAAAGUUAUGAGGUUCAGCAGAAAAAAUCCUGUUAGAUCAAUUUGAUACUGGGAAACUGAUCUGCAUUUUGGUUCUUGUAACAGUAAAGCAAGUCUGUACAUCUGUGUUUUCAGUUUAUGUUGCAAUUUAACUUACUCUUUGAAUUGGCAUGGCAUCAUCUCAUAUGUACACUAAACUUUAGCCCAUUACAUAUGUUUGUUCUCCAAAAUAUCAGCUUAAUAUAGUCAUUAUAUAUUAAAUACAUUAUUUGUAUGCAGAGAUAUGAAGGAAUAAAUUACAACCCAAAAAGAUGCUCAGCAUUUGCUAA
Molecule: long non-coding RNA, 722 nt
Organism: Eleginops maclovinus (Patagonian blennie)
Lineage: Eukaryota; Metazoa; Chordata; Actinopteri; Perciformes; Eleginopidae
Exons: 3
Source: RefSeq, a predicted model, not a curated record